RNAcentral lists this unclassified non-coding RNA (474 nucleotides) under Henricksonia mexicana. RNAcentral describes it as "partial external transcribed spacer". Lineage: Eukaryota; Viridiplantae; Streptophyta; Magnoliopsida; Asterales; Asteraceae. The record is from RNAcentral.
UCCACCCGGCUUACCUUUUCAGUUGUUUGUUUCGGCUUGUGUUGUCUAAACAGACAGUGGGUUUCCUGUGUCGCCUACCUAAUUCAUGGUAUUGUCCUGAUCAAUCAUAGUGACCUUCGUCUUGUGUCAUUCACAUGGCACUAGACGAACCUUGAAGUAGUCUUUUUGAUCCACGUUGUCAAUGCUUGCGUUGAUGUUGUGGCCCAUUGAGCGUUGCUUGGUAUCCUGGAUAUGGAACAUAUGAUUUGGGCAUGGGUCUCUUGGGAUCUUCGUUCUGCCCUUAUUUAGCGUUUGUGCGUCCCUUAAUACGACUGCUCGGCCCGCAUUGGCUCGUACCAGCGGACGUGUAUGUCAAAGAGUCGCACAUCUCUUAGAAUGACGAAUCGGCCCGCAUUGGCUCGUACCAGCGGGUAGGUUGUGUCAAAGAGGAAUGCUACCUGGUUGAUCCUGCCAGUAGUCAUAUGCUUGUCUCAA